CAGGCGGCUGGCAGAGGUUAAGGCCUGACUUCUGCUCCCAGUCGACCCAGUCGACCCGGGUUCAAAUCCGCCUGCCGGCUCCUCGGGUGUUUGAGGAGUGAUGAAAUGGGAGGUGGCCCCCCAUCUUAUGGACGGUGUAGGACGUGAUAAUAUCAACUUGCGAGCUGACCAGGAACUAAGUUGAUGCGCCGUUGAUCCGCUAGAUUUGGUUGGAUGCUGGUGGUGAGUUGCCGAACCCAACGAAUACAUUCUGAAGUCGGAUGGGGUGACGGAUUAGGGUGCCCCUCUAGCAGGGGAGAGCAGGGACUGCCCCGGGAAAGGGGGCCGCUGGCGAAGUUGACCACCCUGUAACAACAUACAUACACUACAACAAUCGAAUAACAAGCGUUGUUCCUACAUACAGCGGGUGUUUCUAUCGCGAACACAAACAAGCAAACAGCGGUGCUCGUCGGGAGCCCAGUCACAGGCCCAGCCCCAGCAAAAUGACGAACCCGAGAAACUCCCAACCCAGUCUAGGAAUGCGCUGAGCUUCCACAAGCAGCCAAGUUUGCCAAUGCAUGCCUGUUUCAAUUGCCUCCUUCAGGGUGUUGCGUUGCCGGAGAUUGAGUUGUGAUCACAGGUCAUUUACGUCCUCCUGCCUCAGUAACCCUCCCUUUCAAGAACUUGGAGUAUGGGAGCUAUCGAGGCCUCAGUCUCUCCAUCGACUGCAGCGAUCACUUCACGCACAGUCGGCAUUGGAGCAGAAGUUCUGCGAGGCGACACCACAUCGGAUCCUAUGGCAUGUCUCAGCGAGCUGACCCUGCUAGCACAAAAGCUCGUCCACUCUCAGCCGCAAUGCUUAAACAAAGUGAAGAGAUAAGGCUGGGUUUCUUUCUGCAGUUAGCUGUAAAUACAAUUGUUUGGAUUGUGAAGGCGCAUCUCUGAGGAGCUGUGUUGUGAACAUAUGCAUUUUUAUGCAGCCUCUGUAACAAAGCAAAGGCAUAAACCGGGAUGCUCAGAUGGGCCUUGCGUUGUUACAUUGCCCCCCUUUAGCAAAGGACGUCCUCGGCCAUUAUAUCGAGCAUUGGAGCCAUCCCACCUCACGCCUCGUGCGCUGGUUUAUCCAUUACACCAUGAUAAUCGCAUUUUGUGAUACCUGCUUGUUGUCAGAAUCGAACCGCCGACCCAAAGAUUUCAUCGGAAGUCGUGCGGCCCCGUCUCGAUACCAUUGUAACAAAGCAAAGGCGUAACCCGGGAUGCUCAGGUGAGCCUUGCGUUGUUAAGCAGCCUGUAAGGACGUUAGGCCCAUUGGCCGCUCGUCCGAAUCAAGUAUUCUCUAACUAACGCCAAAGGCGUUCCUGUACGAUAGGGCCUUAUGGCACUAGCGUCCAACUCAGUUAAAAUACUGAUCUUUACCUAAAAACGGUAUUCUUCAAUACCACCAAAUUGUGGACUUCUAACUCCUUGAGUUAGUUAGCAUACUACGCGGCACCCUAUAGGGACCUAGCAUCGUUACAGUUUGGCAUCGAAGACCACAAAAUCCUGCGACCUCAAACGGUCAUUGCUUCCGCGAAUUCUCCCACAAGCUAAUUCUCAUAAUGUCUGCAAAAAUCUCCAACAGCGUGGACAGCGACUGCAGCGGCAGGAGCAACCGUAAUGGCAGGAAGUCCACCCGCGCCCGCGACAUGGAGGUAACAUGCCUCAAAACGGCGAAGCAUGCUUAUAAUCGUGAGGUUCAAAUGUUCAACCUCGCGCGCAAGGCGCAUCCCGAUUAUAAGUUGCCCGCCGAAUUGAAGUUGCUAGUCAAUCACGUGCUGCGGGACAAGACCGCUGAUCUUUACUGGUGUGCAUUUAAAGAGCUAAAAGCUCAC
This 1850-nucleotide long non-coding RNA is filed under the name Volvox carteri. RNAcentral describes it as "long non-coding RNA (VCAR_LNC003949)". The record is from RNAcentral. Lineage: Eukaryota; Viridiplantae; Chlorophyta; Chlorophyceae; Chlamydomonadales; Volvocaceae.